Molecule: long non-coding RNA, 384 nt
Filed under: Nicotiana tabacum (common tobacco)
Lineage: Eukaryota; Viridiplantae; Streptophyta; Magnoliopsida; Solanales; Solanaceae
Description: long non-coding RNA (NTAB_LNC004871)
Source: RNAcentral
CAAGGCCACAAACCGACCACCAUUUUCAAAACUGACAAUUUUUUCUUUGUAUGAAACAGGAACAAAGCGGUGCAAGGAAAGUGAUUCAAAAAGAGAAAAAAAAAAGAAAAAAACAAAAAAAAACAAAAAAAAAGAGAAGAGAAAAGGACCUAGUCUGAUGACUUUUCUCCUAGGAUCAAAAUCUUAGUCUGAUGAAUUUUUCUCCUAAGAUAGAAGACCUAGUCUGAUGAAUUUUCUCCCAGGAUAGAUGUCUUAGUCUGAUGAAUUUUUCUCCUAAGAUACAAAACCUAGUCUGAUGAAUUUUCUCCUAGGAUAAACGUCUUAGUCUGAUGAAUCUUUCUCCUAAGAUAACAAAAAGAGGACCUAGUCUGAUGAACUUUCUCC